AGCAGUCGCCGCGGUAAUACGAAGGGUGCAAGCGUUACUCGGAAUUACUGGGCGUAAAGCGUGCGUAGGUGGUGGUUUAAGUCCGUUGUGAAAGCCCUGGGCUCAACCUGGGAAUUGCAGUGGAUACUGGGUCACUAGAGUGUGGUAGAGGAUAGUGGAAUUUCCGGUGUAGCAGUGAAAUGCGUAGAGAUCGGAAGGAACAUCUGUGGCGAAGGCGACUAUCUGGGCCAACACUGACACUGAGGCACGAAAGCGUGGGGAGCAAACAGGAUUAGAUACCCGGGUAGUCCCUGUCUCUUAUAC
RNAcentral lists this ribosomal RNA (303 nucleotides) under uncultured bacterium. RNAcentral's name for it is "partial 16S ribosomal RNA". It matches the Rfam family "Bacterial small subunit ribosomal RNA", at positions 507 to 807 of the family's 1533-position model. The record is from RNAcentral.